CCUACGGGCGGCAGCAGUAGGGAAUAUUGCUCAAUGGGGGAAACCCUGAAGCAGCAACGCCGCGUGGAGGAUGAAGGUUUUCGGAUUGUAAACUCCUUUUGUUAGAGAAGAUAAUGACGGUAUCUAACGAAUAAGCACCGGCUAACUCCGUGCCAGCAGCCGCGGUAAUACGGAGGGUGCAAGCGUUACUCGGAAUCACUGGGCGGAAAGAGCGCGUAGGCGGGAUAGCAAGUCAGAUGUGAAAUCCUAUGGCUUAACCAUAGAACUGCAUUUGAAACUGUUAUUCUAGAGUAUGGGAGAGGUAGGUGGAAUUCGUGGUGUAGGGGUGAAAUCCGUAGAGAUCAAGAAGAAUACUCAUUGCGAAGGCGACCUGCUAGAACAUAACUGACGCUGAUGCGCGAAAGCGUGGGGAGCAAACAGGAUUAGAUACCCUAGUAGUC
RNAcentral lists this ribosomal RNA (440 nucleotides) under uncultured bacterium. Its description in RNAcentral is "partial 16S ribosomal RNA". It matches the Rfam family "Bacterial small subunit ribosomal RNA", at positions 338 to 795 of the family's 1533-position model. The record is from RNAcentral.